Peromyscus californicus insignis is the source of this 398-nucleotide non-coding RNA. The record is from the annotation of a RefSeq genome assembly. Lineage: Eukaryota; Metazoa; Chordata; Mammalia; Rodentia; Cricetidae.
UCCAGGAUCCACUACUCUGUGGCAUCUCCACCAUGGCCUGGCUGUUCCUCCUGCUCCCCUUCCUCUCCCUCUGCACAGGUUCCGUGGCCUCCUAUAUACUGACUCAACCUCCCUCAGUAUCAGUGGCCCUAGGUCAAAAGGCCACAAUCACCUGCUCUGGAGAAAAACUUUCAGAUAAUUAUGUUCACUGGUACCAGCAGAAACCAGGCCAGGCCCCUGUGCUGGUCAUAUAUAAAGAUAAUAACCGUCCCUCUGGCAUCCCAGACCAAUUCUCUGGGUCCAGCUCAGGGAACACAGCCACCCUGACCAUCAGCAAAGUCCAGGCUGGAGAUGAAGCUGAUUAUUACUGUCAAAGAUGGGAUAGCACUGAUGAUGCUCACAAUAACACAGUCAGAUGA